GGAAAGGGUCCAUAGUACACACAAAAAUGCUCACAGAAAUGUGAUUCUGGAGAUUCUGAAGGACCUGGGCACAUGACAUCUUAAUUUAGAAAACAGUAUCACAUGUGAUCUGAAAAAAGAUUUAUGUGACACAAAUUUAGGCACUUAGAGUAUUUAACCACAGUGCACAGGAGGCAAGGACAAGAACACAAACUCUGGCACUGACUGACUCACUCAUUCAUUCAACCAAGUUCAACCACAUGUUCCCACAAGGUGCCAGACCUUACAGAGUCACUGGUCACUGAGAAUUCAAAGAUGAGAUGAUCACCCAAUCUAGCAAAGGACACAGACAGGCCAUGAGUAAUGGCUUCGUGGAGUUAAAAUAGACAGAGGCAUCUCGGGGCUUAAGGAAGGAAACACCAUCUGUAGUAGGUGAGCAAGGUGUGAAUGAGCAAAAGAGCCAAGUGCUCCAGUGCUUCCGGUACUUCUGGCAGCCGUGGAGUGAAAGUCAACAUUGUGAUCUCAGCAAGUCAAGCAGAGAGGUUUCCACAUUGGCAAGAGGCUGGGUUACCUUCAAGUUCCCAAAGCAUUGCCCGCCAUUUCUCUCCAGAGAACAAUUGAACUGUGAACCUGAAAUUUAUUUGAAGGGGAUUUUCCUCUCUCAAAAUGCAGCCAAACACCCACAAAAAGAGAUCAGCUUUAAUUAAAAGAAGCACAUUGCUCUACUUAGCAAGUGUGUGUGUGUGUGUGUGUGUGUGUGUGUUAUGCACAUGGAGAAUUUCAAUUUCUGAAAAGACCUAGGUAAAAU
RNAcentral lists this long non-coding RNA (787 nucleotides) under Marmota monax (woodchuck). The record is from RNAcentral. Lineage: Eukaryota; Metazoa; Chordata; Mammalia; Rodentia; Sciuridae.